This 564-nucleotide long non-coding RNA is filed under the name Bos taurus (domestic cattle). RNAcentral describes it as "long non-coding RNA NONBTAT008981". Lineage: Eukaryota; Metazoa; Chordata; Mammalia; Artiodactyla; Bovidae. The record is from RNAcentral.
GGCCGGACUAGCGCACCGCACGGAAAGGGAGGAGGCAAGUGAUGUUGGCUUUCUAAGGCUACAGGGCCUGUCCGGUGUUUAUGGCAGGAAGUGAAGGGUCUUGCUCAGAAGCCUUCCAGAACUUUCCCAGGCUAAGUCACAGAUUUUGUUAUGCGUAUAAAGUCAACGCUAUUCCACGCUAUAAAAAAGCAAAUUCCCACGCACCUGCUGAUGGAGGUGUUUCUUCAUGGAGAAGUUUCUUCCAGUCCCAGCAUGUUUCUGUUGGUUACAAAUGCCUGCCGUUUAUAGACUUUUCCAGAACAUUCCCUACUUAGAACUUUCUUCUUAGUGUUACAGGGAAAUCUGACUGUGAUUUCUCUGGCCCUAGUUUACAGAAGAAUGCAAGACUCCACGGGUUUUAAAGUGAGGAAAAUGGGAAGAAGGGAGUUUUAUCUUCAAGUCCUUUUAUCAGGACUUUUAUCUUCAAGUCCUGGGAUUGAUGUUGCUUUGGAAUUUCUGCACUGCCUGCUCUUUAGAGGAGAGACUUGCUUUCCUGGGAAGUUACCCAAUCGAAAGCUAACCUAA